GAAAUCACAAGUUGAAUAUUAUUAUUGUCAUAAACACGGACUCAGAAAGAUACAAAUCUUCAAAUCUAUCCAAGUUUCGACAUUGAAAAUGAUAAACACAAGGGAAAACUGAACUAGUGUAACUACCGUGGAAACAGACAUAACAACGACAAUAUAACAUUGAAGAUAGAAUACGAUCAGAUUCCAUCUGUGAUUCUGAAUAAUUCAGAAUAUAAUUAGGAUACCGAAUAUGAUUAGGAUAUACCUAGCUUAAUUAAGUAGUGAAUCAUUCAGAAUCGUAGAUGUUAUUGUAAUCUGAUCAAGCAGAAAGAAGAUUAAGUAGUGAAUCAUUCUUUGAUUAAAUUCCAGAUUCCAGAACAUUACAAACAACCACCUAACGACAUUAUAACUGAUUAAGCAUCAGUACCUAACAUUAUCUUCUUUCUCUGCAUUACUGCAUCAGUUUGUGUGUUUUCUGCACAUUUAAAACACACCAGAGUUUAACAACAUAAGCAUGAACAAACCAUCUUUCAAACAUACACUAUACGAUUGAAUACCUAGUAGCUCUUCUACUGUGGUGUCCUCCAUCGCUGGGGCAGGAGAAAUCACCUUCCAGCUCCUUCAUAUCUUUUUUAAGAACGUCU
This 623-nucleotide long non-coding RNA is filed under the name Linum usitatissimum (flax). RNAcentral describes it as "long non-coding RNA (LUSI_LNC003966)". Lineage: Eukaryota; Viridiplantae; Streptophyta; Magnoliopsida; Malpighiales; Linaceae. The record is from RNAcentral.